Molecule: ribosomal RNA, 466 nt
Filed under: uncultured bacterium
Lineage: Bacteria
Description: partial 16S ribosomal RNA
Rfam family: Bacterial small subunit ribosomal RNA
Source: RNAcentral
GAUGAACGCUGGCGGCGUGCUUAACACAUGCAAGUCGAACGAUGAAGCCCAGCUUGCUGGGUGGAUUAGUGGCGAACGGGUGAGUAACACGUGAGUAACCUGCCCUUGACUCUGGGAUAAGCCUGGGAAACUGGGUCUAAUACUGGAUAUGACUUCUCAUCGCAUGGUGGGGGGUGGAAAGAUUUAUUGGUCUUGGAUGGACUCGCGGCCUAUCAGCUUGUUGGUGAGGUAAUGGCUCACCAAGGCGACGACGGGUAGCCGGCCUGAGAGGGUGACCGGGCACACUGGGACUGAGACACGGCCCAGACUCCUACGGGAGGCAGCAGUGGGGAAUAUUGCACAAUGGGCGCAAGCCUGAUGCAGCGCCGCCGCGUGAGGGAUGACGGCCUUCGGGUUGUAAACCUCUUUCAGUAGGGAAGAAGCGAGAGUGACGGUACCUGCAGAAGAAGCGCCGGCUAACUACGUG